Molecule: ribosomal RNA, 480 nt
Filed under: uncultured bacterium
Lineage: Bacteria
Description: bacterial SSU rRNA
Rfam family: Bacterial small subunit ribosomal RNA
Source: RNAcentral
UUGAACGCUGGCGGAAUGCUUUGCACAUGCAAGUCGAGCGGCAGCGCGGGGCAACCUGGCGGCGAGCGGCGAACGGGUGAGUAACACAUCGGAACGUACCCAAUCGUGGGGGAUAACACAUUGAAAGAUGUGCUAAUACCGCAUAAGUCCUGAGGGAGAAAGCGGGGGAUCGCAAGACCUCGCGCGAUAGGAGCGGCCGAUAUCGGAUUAGCUUGUUGGUGAGGUAAAGGCUCACCAAGGCGACGAUCCGUAGCUGGUCUGAGAGGACGACCAGCCACACUGGAACUGAGACACGGCCCAGACUCCUACGGGAGGCAGCAGUGGGGAAUUUUGGACAAUGGGCGCAAGCCUGAUCCAGCCAUGCCGCGUGAGUGAAGAAGGCCUUCGGGUUGUAAAGCUCUUUCAGACGGAAAGAAAUCGGGCGGGUGAAUAGCCUGCCUGGAUGACGGUACUGUCAGAAGAAGCACCGGCUAACUACGU